GUAGGUCCCGAGCGUUGUCCGGAUUUAUUGGGCGUAAAGCGAGCGCAGGCGGUUAGAUAAGUCUGAAGUUAAAGGCUGUGGCUUAACCGUAGUACGCUUUGGAAACUGUUUAACUUGAGUGCAAGAGGGGAGAGUGGAAUUCCAUGUGUAGCGGUGAAAUGCGUAGAUAUAUGGAGGAACACCGGUGGCGAAAGCGGCUCUCUGGCUUGUAACUGACGCUGAGGCUCGAAAGCGUGGGGAGCAAACAGGGAUUAGAUACCCUGGUAGUCCACGCCGUAAACGAUGAGUGCUAGGUGUUAGACCCCUUUCCGGGGGUUUAGUGCCGCAGCUAACGCAUUAAGCACUCCGCCUGGGGAGUACGACCGCAAGGUUG
This 373-nucleotide ribosomal RNA is filed under the name uncultured organism. RNAcentral describes it as "partial 16S ribosomal RNA". It matches the Rfam family "Bacterial small subunit ribosomal RNA", at positions 527 to 896 of the family's 1533-position model. The record is from RNAcentral.